RNAcentral lists this ribosomal RNA (492 nucleotides) under uncultured bacterium. RNAcentral describes it as "partial 16S ribosomal RNA". It matches the Rfam family "Bacterial small subunit ribosomal RNA", at positions 29 to 507 of the family's 1533-position model. The record is from RNAcentral.
AGUGAACGCUGGCGGCAGGCCUAACACAUGCCAGUCGAACGGCAGCACAGUAAGAGCUUGCUCUUACGGGUGGCGAGUGGCGGACGGGUGAGGAAUACAUCGGAAUCUACUUUUUCGUGGGGGAUAACGUAGGGAAACUUACGCUAAUACCGCAUACGACCUACGGGUGAAAGCAGGGGAUCUUCGGACCUUGCGCGAUUGAAUGAGCCGAUGUCGGAUUAGCUAGUUGGCGGGGUAAAGGCCCACCAAGGCGACGAUCCGUAGCUGAUCUGAGAGGAUGAUCAGCCGCACUGGAACUGAGACACGGUCCAGACUCCUACGGGAGGCAGCAGUGGGGAAUAUUGGACAAUGGGCGCAAGCCUGAUCCAGCCAUGCCGCGUGGGUGAAGAAGGCCUUCGGGUUGUAAAGCCCUUUUGUUGGGAAAGAAAAGCAGCAGGUUAAUACCCCGCUGUUCUGACGGUACCCAAAGAAUAAGCACCGGCUAACUUCGUG